RNAcentral lists this long non-coding RNA (624 nucleotides) under Anas platyrhynchos platyrhynchos (common mallard). RNAcentral describes it as "lncRNA (ENSAPLG00000027506.1)". Lineage: Eukaryota; Metazoa; Chordata; Aves; Anseriformes; Anatidae. The record is from RNAcentral.
CUUCUGAUGUUCUCAUCCUAAAUGCCUCCACAGAUUUGACUGGUUCCAGGUCAACAGAUCCUUCUCACUCCCUGUAGCACACUUCUGCUUUUCAUCCUUGUAACAGAUACCUCAUUACAGAAUCAGGAUUGCAUGAUGUCAAAAGGGUUGCAUUGCAAAGCACAGAUAUGUCAUUCCCGUUACAGAUGCAGAAACCAUACCGAUGGAUUGAUCUUGAAUUUCAAAACAGACUGUUGCCAGUGGGUCUGUCAAAAACUGCAAGACCAGCAAGUACCAGCCUGCCUGCUGACUCCUCCAUUCCUACCACUGUUCCUAAUCCUGUUCAGCUCCUGAUCAUUCCCUGACUCUUAAAAGACAGCAUUUUAAUAGGUAUUAUCAAGUACGUUUGCUAUGUAACCUCUUUCUGCUUAGGAAGCACGUUUUUCUGUCAGAUUUUUUCCUUGACUUAAAGAGACUUCGAUGGCGGCAACAACGCAUUCCCACACAAAGAAAAAUUUGCCCUCACAGUUUUCACUGUUUGUAUUUUUUUGGAGAUGGCAUAGAUGCUGUUAAUGGAAAGGGGAAAGAAAGGGGAAUGAAAAGGGAAAAAAAAAAAUAAAAAAGGUAAAUGCAAGAAUAGUGCCA